UUUCACCGAGCCGAGCCACAACGGCCGUUCCACCGGGCGGUGCCGGCCGUAGGUGGCCGCCAAGGCCUGCGCCUC
Molecule: antisense RNA, 75 nt
Filed under: Paractinoplanes brasiliensis
Lineage: Bacteria; Bacillati; Actinomycetota; Actinomycetes; Micromonosporales; Micromonosporaceae
Description: Actinoplanes brasiliensis ASpks TB sRNA
Rfam family: ASpks TB sRNA
Source: RNAcentral